GAUCAUGGCUCAGGAUGAACGCUAGCUACAGGCUUAACACAUGCAAGUCGAGGGGCAGCAUGAACUUAGCUUGCUAAGUUUGAUGGCGACCGGCGCACGGGUGAGUAACACGUAUCCAACCUUCCGUUUACUCAGGGAUAGCCUUUCGAAAGAAAGAUUAAUACCUGAUAGUAUGGUGAGAUUGCAUGAUAACACCAUUAAAGAUUUAUUGGUAAACGGUGGGGAUGCGUUCCAUUAGGUAGUAGGCGGGGUAACGGCCCACCUAGCCUGCGAUGGAUAGGGGUUCUGAGAGGAAGGUCCCCCACAUUGGAACUGAGACACGGUCCAAACUCCUACGGGAGGCAGCAGUGAGGAAUAUUGGUCAAUGGGCGAGAGCCUGAACCAGCCAAGUAGCGUGAAGGAUGAAGGUCCUACGGAUUGUAAACUUCUUUUAUACGGGAAUAAAGUAUCCUACGUGUAGGAUUUUGUAUGUACCGUAUGAAUAAGCAUCGGCUAACUCCGUG
This 503-nucleotide ribosomal RNA is filed under the name uncultured bacterium. RNAcentral describes it as "bacterial SSU rRNA". It matches the Rfam family "Bacterial small subunit ribosomal RNA", at positions 15 to 507 of the family's 1533-position model. The record is from RNAcentral.